Molecule: long non-coding RNA, 11437 nt
Organism: Alligator mississippiensis (American alligator)
Lineage: Eukaryota; Metazoa; Chordata; Crocodylia; Alligatoridae
Exons: 2
Source: RefSeq, a predicted model, not a curated record
GGUCCCCAAUGGGGGGGGGGGGGCAGGGGUGUCCCCACUGAUUUUGCUGCCCAGGGGGAAUUCCCCCCCACGGCCAGUCUCUGGUUUGAUUGUGGGUUUUUUCUCGUGGAAAAUCAGACCUCCCCCCACCCACUUAGCUCACAGAACACAAGUCCAGGUCCCUCACUCCCAAGCCACAGCCCCCCAGCCCUGCUGGUGCCCCUCACCCUACCAGCCCUGCUGGUGCUCCUCAUUCCCCCUACAAGCCCCUGGACCUGCAGGUACCCCUUGCCCCCCACCCACAGCCUUCUGCGCCCCCCCCUCCCCAGCCCUGCCAGAGGGAGCCCCCAGCUGCCAGGGCUAGGGGGGCCAGGGACCUGCGUCUGUAGCCCUGUGCCCCAACAGGAGAUGGCAGCUGCUACAGUAGAGUGGAGUAUGACUUCCCUGCCCUCUGCAGGCUCAGGUGGAGGGUGGGCUGACUCCCCAGUACUGCGCGUGCUUCUGGGGGCCACCAGGGAGCCAUGCCCCCCAGAUCUGUGUGCGGGGUAGGGGUGGGUGUGGUUGCCUGCUGCAGGCUCAGACUCACCACCCUGCUGCCCUUCCCUGGGGCCUCCGCCGCCCAGCAGGUGUGACCUAGUGCUGCAGGGAACAAACAGCAGGGCCAUUGCGAGCUCCACACUGCCUUGGCGAGAUGUCCCCUGCCCGCACGGCUUCAGCAGGGGCAGCGGCGCAGGGUUGUGCCCCUCGCUGCUGCCACGCAGGCAGGGGAUGCCUCUCUGAGGUAGCAUGGGGCUUGCAACAGCAAGGAGCUUCCCUGCUCAGCCCCACUGUUCCUUGCAAUGCCAGGUUGCACCUGCUGAGCUGCAGAAGCCCUGAGGGAGGGCAGCAGGGCUGGGAGCCCAAGCCCACAGCAGGCAGCCUGUUCCUCCCUCACCCCUGCCCCCGAGGGAGUGCGUGCAGCGCCAGGGAACUGGCCCCAUCCCACUCUGCCCCGAAUGAGCCGCCCAUGGCCCUGUCUCACUCCCUGCUGGGGCCUUGUGGCCAUGCAUUGCAGCCCCAGGCCCCACAGACUACCCAGCUGGGCAUCAGCCCCAGCUGCAGCCCUGCCCAGCUCCAUUCCUCCCUCUCUAUGGGGUCCUCAAUCCUACACCCCUGACUUACCUGCAAGAGCUGCUUUCCUGGCUGCCUGGUGGCCAUUUGCAUAUACAUGAACAUGGCACCCCCUGCCUGACUGCUCUUCUACUUCUCACCCCCCUCAGCCCCUUGCAGGCUGGGACUCUGCCAGCUUGCAGAGAGCUCUUUGCAAAACUGCAAAAUCCGUGGGUUUCUCCGUUACAAUGAGAAAUCCACAUUUUCCUUGGGUAAAGGGGGAAAUCUGCAUUUUUGUCUAUUUUUCUAUGGGAAAUGGAAAACCCGGAUCCCUGCUUAUUAGUGUGAAUGGAGAGGUCAAAACUGCAGUACUGCUGCUGUUCCUGAAGAGGUUGAAGAUUCUUUUGUGAGGGUUCUCAUCAGGAACUGUACUUUUGUUGGGUCUCUUUUGGGAUGAUGUUAAAAAGCAUUGUUUAAUUUGAAGAGCAGAAUAUCCUUUAUCUUCAAAUUAUUUCUGAACAAUCCUUUGAGGGUCUUUUAGGUCUAAUUAGUUUGAAGACAAUUAACCUGUUGUCCAAAAAAUCAUGGUGGUGAUGCCUGUCUAAUAAGGCUUUUGCUUGCCUUGACCAUUACAUUAUCCAAGCCUUGUUUGUCUGUCACAUCCUGCAUAACUACACAAGAAGGUGAAUCUGACUUGGCAGCAUUUCACACUCACUUAGCAGUGGUAUAAUUGACAUUACAAGCUGUUAAUAGAAAAAUCCAGAUCUCAGUGUCCAAGCCCGAGUUCUGAAUAGCCUUAUAGAGGGGUUUAACUUGAAGCAGUGUGAGUUGUUCCACUGGCUUCAGCAGACCUACUUGCAGAAAACAAACAAAUAGUCCAGAUGCAACUUUUACUGUACAUUUUCUAUUAAAAACAUUAAAAAGAGCUAUGAAAUAAUUUAUCCAAUACGUGUGAAUAUUGCUUUAAAAAUGCCAUUCUAAAACUGCAAGGAGGUUGCUAUACGGUGUGCACAGUAUUCCUGCAACACCUCUCCUGAACUAACUACCAGGUUAGCAGGGGAACCCAGAGUUCCAGGCUGUGUAAAUGCUCCAAGAAGAACAACAAACAGGCUCAGACCUGGCAUGACUUCCUGUUUUGUGGUUCUUUUGUUUUUUACUUAAUUUUUUAGGAGCUGAAAAGAAACUGUUCUUUCCUAAGUGGUUCACAUGAAUAAUGGAAAUACAAGGUAUUUUCUCAAUAAUGGAGGAAUUGAUUUGGAUGAAUGUAUCAUUUGAAUUCAUCUAACUUCGUCAAUCUGUGAGGAAGCUGGUAAUUUCCUCUUUGCACAUUCUGAAUGCACAUUUAUUUAGCACAUCAAAACACACUAGCUUGAGUACAAUGUGGCACUGUUCUUUGAAAACUACUGGUUAUCACUAAGGUAAGCAAAAUGUGAAUGCAAAGUAAGGGCUCUCCCUGGGGAAAAAAAGCACAGUUCCAACUGAACUAUUUCAUGGCAGGGGAGAACUUACAGAAAACAGUUGCAUGCAACUAUUUUCUUUAUCUCCCGGUUUUAUAGUUGGUACAUUUACAUCCCCUUUGCCAAGCAGCAUGGUGAAAAUUCCCUAAAGUGUAGCCUUCAUGCUGAGUUAUGAUAAAGAGUGCGUAUCCAACACAGUGAAAAAGGCAAGUGUUUGCUAACUCAGUUUUUAGUACAGCUGGUCAGCAAAUGGGGGCCUUUCUUUUGUGAAAAUAUUGAUUCUCAAUUUAUUAAUUUAAAAUUCAUAAUAUUUCUAACUAGCUCAGGCUUUAGCUACUUUUACCUUGGGUGGCUGUGCAGUAGUCAAUGGGAGCCAUGCAGGAAUUGCUGUAGUGUUGGGAAUACCAAGCCGGACCUGCUUUCCCUGUACUUUUCACUUCUCCAUAAGCCAGAGAGAGGGACAGCAUGGGAGUCAGUAGUAGGGGUGUGCAAAGUGGGCCCUCUUCGAUUUGGUUUCGGAUUCAGCCCGAAUCAGGGACAGUGAUUCGAUUCGUUGAUUCGGAUCGCUGUCCCUGAUUUGAUUUGGCCGAAUCUGAAGAUUCAAUGCUGAUUCGGCCAUAGACACAGCUUUAAAAGUUUUUUCUACAUGCCUCAAGGUACCAGGUGUGGCUCAUGAAUGCUGCAGUUCUGGGGCAGAUGGAGUGUCCCACAGGAGUGCGGGGGGCCCCCACAUGUUUAGCAGCGAACCCAGAAGUGGACCGGAAGUACUUAUGGUCUACUUCCAGGUCUACUGGGGAGCACACCUCACGCUCCCCCCAAUUCAUUGAUCAGCCACAGAGAGACCCCACAGAUGCCCCUCUAGACCCAGGAAGCAUCAGUUGCCAAGCCGGGAGGGGAGAGAAUUGCGGGGAGGCCCCCUGUGUACUUUUCGGCAGACCCGAAAGUGGAUCGGAAGUGAUGCUGAUUCACUUCCAGGUCUGCUGCUGAGUGCACUGGGGAGCCCCCCAUGCUCCUAAGGGAUGCUCCAUGCCACCCAAGCAUCACAACACUCAUGAGCCACCUGCUACCUACGGGUAUGUAGAAAAAACAUUUAAAGCUGUAUCUAUAUCCAAAUUGCUGAAUCUUUCUGAAGCUGUCUGAAUCAAUUCGGAGAAUUCUGAUUCGAUUUGGAGAGAUUAAAGGGUUCUCUGAUUUGAUUCGGAGAUUUGGCCAUCGAAUCAGGCCAAAUCUCUGCUGAAUCGAAUCAGGAACCGAAGCUUUGCACAGCCCUAGUCACUAGCACUUUCCUGUACUGUAUGUUUCCACUAGUCUGCAGUGAGACAUCCACCCAUGGCUACCUACAUCGAUCAUAGUGUUUCUUUGCACUGAUAGUGACAUGACUGAAAGAUAGAAGACAGAUGCAUACAAAAACAGCUGUUGCAUGUAGGGAAACCAAAGCAUUAUAGUGUGAUUAGAACGGCACUGCUGAGGAGCUGAAGAAAGCUUAUGAGUCUUUGGUGCCAAAUGAAAUUACAGUAUAGGACUUCUCUGAGGAGAGCAAUGUGCUUCCAGUGGAUGAGAACUGACUCUGAUGACAUGGCAGUGGUUGGGGUAUUCUCUCCUAUUCCUUUCACAGGGAGUGAACAACCUUCCAAUGAAGAAUUCAAAAUGCUGCACAACCAACAAAAGUGUUUUGGAGCAUGUCAUUAGCUUAUCAAGAAAGAGGAUUUGUAACUGCAUGCUGGUCGUAUCAUGCAGCUGUUUAAAGCCCUUCUUUGAGAUGGAUGCCCCCAAAAAAGAAGUCCUUGCCAUUUUUUGUAAUGCCAUAUGUGUCUGUUUUAAAAAGGAGGCUCUCAUAGUUGAAAUUAAUGUAUUGUGACAGGAACAGAGUCAGAAUUCUCCAAGUCCAAGUUCUACCAGCAUCUGGCAGCUCCUGCUGCUAAACAAAUCACAGCUAAAGUGGAAGGUGCCAAGAACGGGACCUUGCUUGUCACCCCUGCUGUCACCUUGUAAUCAGGACUUGUGAAGGUAACAGUCUGCCCCCUUAGCUUGACUGCCCAUUUGGUGGUCCUGACACUUUGCUGCUGCUCUGUUGGAGUAUAGAUAGUGUUGCAAGGGCAGCUGCCCUGAAAAGCACCCCAAGGAGCUGGAGAGCAAUUCAUUGAUGCAGUGCUGUUCUGCACAUUCAUUAAGAGUAAGACUUACACAGUAUGGAAGUGUUGCAGGCAGCAAUUAGAAAAUUCUUCCUAGAACACCUACUGGUGCAUGAUUAAAGCUACUGCUGUAGCAACCACUGAAAAGGAUCAAGGUUGCACAGAGCAUGAGAAGGAAAGAAAACAUCAACAAUCUCCUGCAUUCAAGGGCAUAGGCAGGGGAUACAAGGGAAGUACCUGUUCCCCUUUUGGACAUACUUAUUUUUCAGUGAUCAUAAAUGUCUGUCUACCCCAUUCAGUUGCUGCUCCAAGCAGUUACUAGGAAUGAGAAUAGUUGUACUGCACCAGGAAUACACCACAGUGCAAAGUCACCAUUGAUUUCCUGCUAGAACUGUAUUGUGCUUCUCCAAACCAAGCCUGAGAGAAGAACUUUAGGCAUGAAAGAAAGCAAAUGAGCUAAUGAACUAUUGUAUCACUGUGCAGUAAACACAAGCAAAAUUACGCAUGGUUUAGUAACUAUAAACAAGCAUUUCUAAAAACAUGGUUCCAAGCCAGAGGGAUCCUUAGCUGGUCAUUUAGGAACUCUGUAUAAUCCCUGGUGCUAGAAGCAUUGCAGGGACUGGGAGGAGAUCAUGUACAUCUUCCUAUUCAACAGUGGUUAGGGACUGCUCCAUACCUGCAUCAGAGAAGAUUUGGCACCCAGGGCCAAAAGGUUGAAUCCUCUGUUAUCAACUGGCCAUUUCCUGAAUGUUCUGGGAGUAAUAUGGCACAACCCUGCAACAGUGACUUGUUUAGUAGAAAAGAUGCCUGUGCAACUGGUAUAUCAGCCGGGUGCAGUAGGAGGGAGAGGAGGCUGACUGGGCACACGUGCGGGCUCCCAGCACACGUGUGUCCCCUGCAACGUACCUGAGGCGGCAGAGGCUGAGAAGCAACAGUGGGGGCAGCAGCAGCAGCUGACCCCCUGAAGGUAAGUGGGGCAGGAGCUGGCACAGCUGCAGAGGAUCCGGAGGGGAAGCCCCUGGAUCCCUCUUUGCUGAGCCAGGCAGGGAACCGCGUGCGUAAGGGUGCACAAAGAGUAAGCGACAAGAAGGAGCACCUAGCAAGAGUGAUGAUGACUCGAAGCUCAGCAGCUAAGGUAAGAGCAGGUAAGGUAAGAGGAGGGGAGGCAGCUGCAGCUCAGAUGGCGCUGCCCACCCGUGGUUCCUCUGAGGUGUCCACUCAGAUGGAGCCCUGCCCCCCUGUCUGCAGGGGUGGCCUGGCGGUGACCCUGCCAUCGGGGGAGAGGGGGAGCCCCCUUGCCUGUCCCUCAUGUGCCCACCUUUGGGCCUUGGAGGAGCAAGUGAGGGAACUCCAGGAGGCAGUGAGCAGGCUAAGGGGGAUCAGGGAUGAUGAGGCAGUGAUUGACAGGUAUUUCUAUUCCUUACAGCUCCAGAUGCCGGUGAAACUCCACGUGAGGAGUCUGCAGCAGGGGAGUGGAGGACAGUCACCUCUGGAUCCAGGCGGCAGGGCCCGGUGUCUGCUUCCCCAUUGCGUGUGGGGAACAGAUACGGGGCCCUGACAACCAUGGAGGAGACAGAGGAGAAGUAUUUUCCUGCAGAGUUGGUGAUCCCUGUAGCCCCUACUGGGCAGGCUAGGGGAUCACUGCCCAGGCAGAAGAAGAAACGCUGAGUGAUUGUGGUGGGUGACUCGAUCCUGAGAGGCACGGAGAGGCCGAUCUGUCGACCGGAUCCUAUGGUGAGAGAAGUCUCCUGCAUGCCUGGAGCUAAGAUCAGGGACAUCACUGAAGCGAUUCCUGCUCUCAUUAAGCCCUCUGACUACUACCUCAUGGUCCUCGUCCAUGUGGGAACCAACAGUGUGGCUAGGACCAGCCCUGACCACAUCAUUAAGGACUUCCAUGAACUGGGAGACAGCCUCAAGAAGCCUGGAGCACAAGUUGUAUUUUCUUCCAUCCUUCCGGUUGGCAGCAGCCGGAGAUGCCAGGGUGCCCGCAUCAAGGAAGUCAACCGGUGGCUCCAGAGUCGGUGUCUUCAGGAGAGCUUCGGAUUCUACAGCCAUGAUCAGCACUUCCAGGGAGGAGGCUUCUUGGGAGAUGAUGAUCUUCAUCUCUCUCCCAGAGGUCAUGCACUUCCUGGAUGCAGGAGCUGAGGCUGAUGUCAUCUUCCUGGACUUUAGCAAGGCCUUCGACACAGUUUCGCACCCUAUCCUCAUUGGGAAGCUAGCAGACUGUGGAGUGGAUGCUUACACGGUUAGGUGGGUAGCCAACUGGCUUAGGGACCGCACCCAGAGAGUGGUGGUGGAUGGUUCCUUCUCAGCCUGGAGGGAGGUGGGCAGUGGGGUCCCGCAGGGUUCAGUCUUCGGACCGAUAUUAUUCAAUAUCUUCAUCAGCGAUUUGGACGAGGGCGUGGAGAGCACCUUCUCCAAGUUUGCUGAUGAUACCAAGUUAUGGGGCAAAGUUAGUACACCAGAGGGCAGGGAGCAGAUUCAGUCUGGCCUGGACAGGUUGGAUCAAUAGGCAGAGAGAAAUAGGAUGCAAUUUAAUAAAGAUAAAUGUAAGGUACUCCACCUGGGAAGGAGGAACCCCCAGCACACCUAUAGGUUGGGGAGUGUCCUUCUCAGCAGCUCGGAGGCAGAGAGGGAUCUUGGAGUCAUAAUUGACUCCAAGAUGAACAUGAGCCGGCAGCGUAACGAGACCAUCAACAAGGCCAAUAGCAUCUUGUUGUGCAUUAGCAGGUGCAUGACUAACAGAACAAAGGAGGUGAUGCUUCCCCUCUGUGCGGCACUGGCCAGGCCACAGUUGGACUACUGUGUCCAGGAUUGGGCGCUGCACUUCAAGAGGGACGCGGGGAAUCUCAAGAGGGUCCAGAGGAGGGCCACUCACGUGAUUAGUGGCCUUUGUGAUAGACCCUACAGGGGGAGGUUGAGAGAGUUGAAUCUCUUCAGCCUUCACAAGAUACAGCUGAGGGGAGAUCUUGUGGCUGCCUAUAAAUGUAUUAGGGGAGGUCAAUGGGGAAUAGGGGAAGCGCUGUUUACUAAGGCGCCCCAGGGAGUGACUAGGAAUAACGGGUGUAAACUAGUUGAGAGUGGAUUUAGGUUAGAUAUUAGGAAGAAAUUUUUCACAGUAGGGGUGGCCAGGAUCUGGAAUGGGUUUCCAAGAUGUCACAACCAAAUUAAGUAGUGCCCAUGUCACAAACAAGUAAUAACCAUUUAAAACAGUUUAUUCUGCACUAGGUUAACUAAGGGUUAACAAUAAUGAUAGUAACCACUUUUUUCUGCGCGUGUCAAAAAGAAAUUUAUUGCUGCGCCACUAACAGAGAUAAAAACUUUUGCCUUCUUUGCUUUAUAUAAAUCAUUAUAAUUGGUCAAAGAAAACAAGGAGUAACCCUGUAAAAAUAACACCCUAACAAAGACCGCUAGAUAAUUGGCGAUUCUAAUUAGAUUUAUGACGUGGCGAAAAACAAUUGGCUAUCAUACAAACAAAACCCGCUUACAUUUUUCGCAAAGUCGAAGACAACUCUGCCCACACCUUGGAGUAAAUCUGACAAUUUAAUCAGUUGUCAGCGUCUUCCCGCCGCGACCUCCCUGGCGUACUCUUGCCCCGCAUGCCCGAUAAGCCGACCGCCGGCCCGUAUAUAUAUAUCUGCAGAACGACUAAACGACGAUCUCUAAGCUAUGACUAACUAAGUAUCUCUGACCUCCGGUAUUCACCACCUUGACGGCGUGAGUAAAUAAUCUUGCUUUACAACCGAUAAGCGUCUGCCUAAUUAAUUCCACUCGACGCAUCACAAAUACCCGCCUGACGGCCUUCUACGGCCCCAAACCCUUAUCUGCCCGGGUGGGAGUCAGGGAGAGCUGCUGGCCGGCUGCCCUGGGUCCCAACAUGGCGUCAUGAACAGGAUACAGGGAAAAUGUGAUAGAGGUGAAAUUAAUUAAAAACUGCCCCUGGUGUAGUGGGGGGCGCCGCGUAAAUAACGCGGAUGAAUUAUGGGCCCACAUCGCUUAUCACCAAGCGAGCGGAGCGGAGACAGGGUGCGUCAGCGGCUACUUCUCGCUGAGAGAAGAGGAGGGAGUCGGAAAGGAGUGGGCAAGCGCCGAGUGGGACAAAAGAAAGAUGAUUAACGUAGUGUCACUCCUACUGCGUGAAAAUACAAACUUAAAAACCCAGUUAGCUACAGUCAGCAAAGCUGCUGCGGAGAUGGCAGUGUGCCAAAACCCUCCGUUGCCACCAAAAAAAUGGCACCGAAAAAAAUAUGAGCUGCCUGGAGAACCUAAAAAAGAAGGGCGGAGCCACAAAAGAACAGGUGGGACUCCACUCAGCAAGCCCGCUCCCUGAGAUGACGUCGCUCCCAACGGCCCCACCUCCGUACCACAGGGACGGGGCAACGAGUGAGAAUCCGAACCUCCCAUCAGACACAAUAACAACUACAGCUGCCGCUCAUCCUGUAACAAUAACCAAGCAAAUAACCAACCCAGAGGGUGCAACCACCAUCACCACCCUUGACGUCAUCAAAGCAUGCAUGGAGAUUUAUGGAGGAGAGGACACCAUCACCCUUCGCCUUCUCCUCAACCUGCUCGUUACUCAGCCAGCAGAAAAUCUUUUAAGUCAACUUCCACGACUACAAGCCCUUAUAAAGUCAAUAGCUACAAACCCAGCCGAAAUAUCAAGCCACCUUACUACGUAUCCAGUCGAAUACCAAGGGCCAAGACAUUCCCAAUUCAACUCAUGAAAAAAAUCAAGAUUGCCACCCCAGAGGACACCGAAAAAAAGAGCCAUGUUUGGGUUCCUCCUAAACCACUUCACGCUUACCAAACAACGGCUACACGUCCUAAAAAAUGCGGGACAAUGACAACUGGCACAUAUACUAGGCUACCAAUCUCGACCGAUCCUGCCAACCGGUCCGGGCCCCGGAGGCACCCAUGCCUAACAGCGCACUCCAGAUAACACCGCAGCCUGCCCCAACAGACAACUACUUAAAGGGGGCAUCUAUAAACUAGCGCUUCAAAAGCCCCAACCAUAAAACCCAAAGCUCACCCCUAGACACCACACCAUCGUCAACCACGUCCGCGAGUGCACAAAAAAGUCAUCUGCAAACCCGAACAGUAUCCUGGCUCCUACUCUGUGCUCCUAAAAGGCGAUCAAACCUGGUCGCUCAUCAUAGCUCAUCACAACUGGCUAACUCGCUGCCAUGCUGUUCACCGAGUCUGGCCACCCUUUUCUUUAUUUGUUUGUCUGUUCAUCUGUUUUGUCCCCUUACAGGCCCAGCGAAGACGAAACAACAAUCUAUAACUGCCCGAUCGUGAGAAUCGCCAAGCACCAACCUACAACACACCCGGGUCGACGCCACAAUGGCUGCCUGCUCAUAUGUCGCAAGCAGGGUCGUUGCUCUAUUCCUACAGUUACCAACAGAUUUCUCGGCGAACAAAGCUGACUUCAAAACCUCCAACUCGGUCCUAAACCUUCUGUCAUUAUAGGCCAAAGACACAACUAAUGAUUCAUUUUAUGGUUUUUCUUUUCCUGUUAAUGAUCUUAUACAUAUUUGUUUUGUUUUGUUUUAAAGCCUGUUCAAAACUUUACACAACAAAGCCAAGUCAUAAUGUUUUGAGUAAAAAGCUCUAAAUUAUUAAAAAAAAAAAACAUUGAUAAUCUAAAGGUUUGGGGGAUGUAGCAGAAAGGUCGAGUAUAGACAAAAACAUUAAAUAAAAAAAAAAUUUGCCUUUUUAGUUUGGUUUCUUAACUAAAACACAAAAAAACACAAGAGACAGAUAUAAAGGCUUAUUGUAUGUCGUAGGUGGAUAGAGGACAAAAAGUGUCAAAUCGUUGAGAAAAAAAAACAAAGUGAUACAUAACAAGGUUGAUGCGUUUCAACAGUCUUAAACAAAAAAAAUAAAAAAAAAUUACAAAAAACGCCAAACCGACUCUCGGGUAUAGGCCAAGAUUGGCUAUCAAACCUCUUCCGUUGGUUUGGGUGGGACACGUAAUCAUGAUUCCUCAACUUGUUAAUACCCUUCAUUAUGCUUUUGUUAUCAAUUGCUAUAUUUGUGUGUUUCAGUUGUUAAAUUUUACAAUAUCUCAAAACAAAGUUGACCACGCUUUUUGCUUUUAUAUAUAUCCGCUUGCCAAACACUAACAAUAAUAAACAAAAUGGUCUAUAUAUAAACAUGAUGUUACUUGCUGUGCCAUGGACAAGGGGACAUGUCACAACCAAAUUAAGUAGUGCCCAUGUCACAAACAAGUAAUAACCAUUUAAAACAGUUUUUUUCUGCACUAGUUUAACUAAGGGUUAACAAUAAUGAUAGUAACUGCUUUUUUCUGCGCAUGUCAAAAAGAAAUUUAUUGCUGCGCCACUAACAAAGAUAAAAACUUUUGCCUUCUUUGCUUUAUAUAAAUCAUUAUAAUUGGUCAGAGAAAACAAGGAGUAACCCUGUAAAAAUAACACCCUAACAAAGACCGCUAGAUAAUUGGCGAUUCUAAUUAGAUUUAUGACAUGGCAAAAAACAAUUGGCUAUCAUACAAACAAAACCCGCUUACAUUUUUCGCAAAGUCGAAGACAACUCUGCCCACACCUUGGAGUAAAUCUGACAAUUUAAUCAGUUGUCAGCGUCUUCCCGCCGCGACCUCCCUGGCGUACCCUUGCCCCUCAUGCCCGAUAAGCCGACCGCCGGCCCAUAUAUACAUAUCUACAGAACGACUAAACGACAAUCUCUAAGCUAUAACUAACUAAAUAUCUCUGACCUCCGCUAUUCACCACCUUGACGGCGUGAAUAAAUAAUCUUGCUUUACAA